GACGAACGCUGGCGGCGUGCUUAACACAUGCAAGUCGAACGGAAAGGCCCUGCUUUUGUGGGGUGCUCGAGUGGCGAACGGGUGAGUAACACGUGAGUAACCUGCCCUUGACUUUGGGAUAACUUCAGGAAACUGGGGCUAAUACCGGAUAGGAGCUCCUGCUGCAUGGUGGGGGUUGGAAAGUUUCGGCGGUUGGGGAUGGACUCUCGGCUUAUCAGCUUGUUGGUGGGGUAGUGGCUUACCAAGGCUUUGACGGGUAGCCGGCCUGAGAGGGUGACCGGCCACAAUGGGACUGAGAUACGGCCCAGACUCCUACGGGAGGCAGCAGUGGGGAAUAUUACACAAUGGGCGGAAGCCUGAUGCAGCAACGCCGCGUGCGGGAUGACGGCCUUCGGGUUGUAAACCGCUUUAGCCUGUGACGAAGCGUGAGUGACGGUAAUGGGUAAAGAAGCACCGGCUAACUACGUG
RNAcentral lists this ribosomal RNA (468 nucleotides) under uncultured bacterium. RNAcentral's name for it is "partial 16S ribosomal RNA". It matches the Rfam family "Bacterial small subunit ribosomal RNA", at positions 28 to 507 of the family's 1533-position model. The record is from RNAcentral.